This is a long non-coding RNA of Ipomoea nil (Japanese morning glory), 849 nucleotides long. RefSeq lists it as uncharacterized. The transcript is spliced from 3 exons. Lineage: Eukaryota; Viridiplantae; Streptophyta; Magnoliopsida; Solanales; Convolvulaceae. The record is from RefSeq and is a predicted model, not a curated record.
GGGCAUAAUUCGGGUACAACCCGAAAAAACACGGGUUCGACCCGUUUUGACCCGAAUCGGGUCGGAUUCGAACCAAAACGGGUGGAACCCGUUCAAUUGCUGGCCAAACAUAAUUUAAACGGAUCGGGUUUCGGGUUGGUAGUUUAAAAUUCGAAUCCGACCCGAAACCCGAACUCACAUAUAUAUAUGUAAAGUAUGUUUAGGGUUCCGUCUUUCAUAUCAGAUCUUUCUCAUUCAUUGUUUCCGCCGCUCACCCCUCUCAAAUUUUCACUCUCUCUCUCAGAGCUUUUCUACCAUUCUCACCCCACAAAAUCUCUCCAUCUCUCAACCACUCAACCCCGCCUCCGUUCCGCCUCUCUACGGCUCUGCCUCUCACUCUUCUCGCAGUUUCCCAACCUCUCCGUGACUUCUUCUCCGGCUCUGUCAUCUCGUCUCUCGAGUCUCUCCUACACCUUCGUCAAAUCGUUGCUCAACCUGGAAACCCUAGAUCUCUUCCAAGGCUUCGACUUGUGACCGUUGUCCGCCGGUAUGCUACUCAAUGGCUCGUCAAAUCGUCAAAUCCUCCAGCUUAGAAAAUUUAAUGGGUCCUAAUUACAAGACAAAUGAAGGAUCAUUGGAUCAAUUUGCUUGUUCAAAAGGGGGAUCAAACUAAAUCACUUGGCAUUUCCUCCCAAUUUUAUUUCACUCACCUUUAUUUAAUUUUUGUUUUUUGGUAAUUGUAAUUAACUUAGUAAAAUGAUUUAAUGUUAUCAAUGUUGUUUACCCUUUUGGGUUGUGAUGUAAUAUUGUAAUUUUGUAAUUAUUGUUUUGUUGUAACUAUUGUGUUUAUUUAUUUAUUUAUUUCGUUUA